This 253-nucleotide ribosomal RNA is filed under the name uncultured bacterium. Its description in RNAcentral is "partial 16S ribosomal RNA". It matches the Rfam family "Bacterial small subunit ribosomal RNA", at positions 524 to 776 of the family's 1533-position model. The record is from RNAcentral.
UACGUAGGGACCGAGCGUUGUCCGGAUUCAUUGGGCGUGAAGAGCUCGUAGGCGGCCACUCAAGUCGAAUGUGAAACCUCGAGGCUUAACCUCGAGCCUGCAUUCGAUACUGGGUGGCUAGAGUCUGGUAGGGGGGUCUGGAAUUCCUGGUGUAGCGGUGGAAUGCGCAGAUAUCAGGAGGAACACCGGUGGCGAAGGCGGGAUCCUGGGCCAGUACUGACGCUGAGGAGCGAAAGCGUGGGGAGCGAACAGG